CACAGGAGAGUGACAAACUGUAUGAAAUGAGAUUUUCUUCCCUGCUUGCACCGUGCCCACGGAACAAGUUUUCACUUGGAAAUGCUGAUUCCUCUCCCAGCCUGAUAAUAUUUGUCAUUUUCUCUCUUGGCCAAGUUCUUAGAGCCCUGAGAGGGGACAGAGCAAAGCUGUAAGUGCAGAUACCUGCUCCUCUUACCCUUGCUUGCCCAGGUGCUACGAGAUUUUCCUGUCUCUAGUGCAGGCUGGAUUUCUAAUUUUAUUUAACCAGUGCAUGAAGCCUGAGAUGUGCUCUUUUGGAAAAGUAUGAAUACCUCCUUGGCAACACUUGAGAGAAAAAAUUUAGGUUGUGCUGCUCCUGAAUGACAGUCAGAACAUAAAAGUUUGCAUUGCAACCGCUUUGGAAAAUAGCACUUGAUUAGUUUUGACUGAAACAACCUGGGCUGCAUCGGAAAAACAACACUUCAAAGAAAAUGCUCCUUUUCCCAAGAGGUCAUUAAAUAAUUGUGGAUUAUUGCAGCAAAAUGCAACAAGGGAUUUUAUUCUAAUUCAGAGGAGCCAGGAAGCUUUCUAAGCUGAUGACAGAGAUAUGUCUUCAAAGGAAACUGGGAAUUUAGGGAAGACUUCACUGGAGCUGCACAUCAAGAAGCAGAAGUCCCAUUUCCCCACAGAACUGCCCACCUGGGUAACAGCAAGUUUUCUCCCUGCCUUUUGGCCCAGGUUUCAGUAGAUCAAGAGCCUCUAAAUCCAAGCAGCCAAGGAGGAACACAGAAUGGGCACAUGAAGGUGUACUGAAGGAGUAGAAUCGAUACACUGAAAUGAAGAUGCACUGAGAGUCCCUUACAAAGCUACUGAAAUCUGUGACUGUUCUGUCCUGUCAGAUUUGGCCUAGGCUUUGAAGGGCUUGCACUAAAAAAUGAACUUUCCUACUUCUCAUUGAAUUCAAUUAA
Long non-coding RNA from Myiozetetes cayanensis, 947 nucleotides. RefSeq lists it as uncharacterized. The record is from RefSeq and is a predicted model, not a curated record. The transcript is spliced from 6 exons. NCBI's taxonomy places the organism in Eukaryota, Metazoa, Chordata, Aves, Passeriformes, Tyrannidae.